RNAcentral lists this ribosomal RNA (199 nucleotides) under uncultured bacterium. Its description in RNAcentral is "partial 16S ribosomal RNA". It matches the Rfam family "Bacterial small subunit ribosomal RNA", at positions 1294 to 1500 of the family's 1533-position model. The record is from RNAcentral.
CGGAUCGGAGUCUGNAACCCGACUCCGUGAAGCUGGAUUCGCUAGUAAUCGCGCAUCAGCCAUGGCGCGGUGAAUACGUUCCCGGGUCUUGUACACACCGCCCGUCAAGCCAUGGGAGCCGGGGGUGCUUGAAGUGCGUCGCCGCAAGGCGCGCCCUAGAGCAAAACCGGUGACUGGGGCUAAGUCGUAACAAGGUAGC